CAAUAGCGUAUAUUAAAGUUGUUGCGGUUAAAAAGCUCGUAGUUGGAUUUCUGCCGAGGACGACCGGUCUGCCCACUGGGUGUGUAUCUGGCUCGGCCUGGGCAUCUUCUUGGAGAACGUAUCUGCACUUGACUGUGUGGUGCGGUAUCCAGGACUUUUACUUUGAGGAAAUUAGAGUGUUUCAAGCAGGCACACGCCUUGAAUACAUUAGCAUGGAAUAAUAAGAUAGGACCUCGGUUCUAUUUUGUUGGUUUCUAGAACUGUGGUAAUGAUUAAUAGGGAUAGUUGGGGGCAUUCGUAUUUAACUGUCAGAGGUGAAAUUCUUGGAUUUGUUAAAGACGGACUACUGCGAAGGCAUCUGCCAAGGAUGUUUUCAUUGA
This 380-nucleotide ribosomal RNA is filed under the name uncultured eukaryote. Its description in RNAcentral is "partial 18S ribosomal RNA". It matches the Rfam family "Eukaryotic small subunit ribosomal RNA", at positions 592 to 976 of the family's 1831-position model. The record is from RNAcentral.